This 407-nucleotide ribosomal RNA is filed under the name uncultured bacterium. RNAcentral describes it as "bacterial SSU rRNA". It matches the Rfam family "Bacterial small subunit ribosomal RNA", at positions 28 to 429 of the family's 1533-position model. The record is from RNAcentral.
GAUGAACGCUAGCUACAGGCUUAACACAUGCAAGUCGAGGGGCAGCACAGAGUGGCAACACUUGGGUGGCGACCGGCGCACGGGUGAGUAACACGUAUCCAACCUGUCCCAUACUCGGGGAUAGCCUUUCGAAAGAAAGAUUAAUACCCGAUGGUAUCAGAUUAAGGCAUCUUGAUUUGAUUAAAGAGAUUCGGUAUGGGGUGGGAUGCGUUCCAUUAGCUUGUUGGCGGGGUAACGGCCCACCAAGGCAACGAUGGAUAGGGGUUCUGAGAGGAAGGUCCCCCCACAUUGGUACUGAGACACGGGACCAAACUCCUACGGGAGGCAGCAGUGAGGAAUAUUGGUCAAUGGCCGAGAGGCUGAACCAGCCAAGUCGCGUGAGGGAUGAAGGUUCUAUGGAUCGUAAA